UGGGGAAUUUUGCACAAUGGGGGCAACCCUGAUGCAGCAACGCCGCGUGGAGGAUGAAGGCUUUUGAGUUGUAAACUCCUUUUCUGAGGGAAGAGUAAGGACGGUACCUCAGGAAUAAGGCCCGGCUAACUACGUGCCAGCAGCCGCGGUAAUACGUAGGGGUCAAGCGUUAUCCGGAAUUACUGGGCGUAAAGCGCACGCAGGCGGCGUGCCAAGUCCGAUGUGAAUGCUCCCGGCUUUACUGGGAGAGGUCGUUGGAUACUGGCAGGCUAGAGGCAGUGAGAGGGAUGCAGAAUUCCUGGUGUAGUGGUGGAAUGCGUAGAUAUCAGGAGGAAUACCAGUGGCGAAAGCGGCAUCCUGGCACUGUACUGACGCUCAUGUGCGAAAGCGUGGGGAGCGAACGGGAUUAGAUACCCCCGUAGUCC
This 425-nucleotide ribosomal RNA is filed under the name uncultured prokaryote. RNAcentral describes it as "bacterial SSU rRNA". It matches the Rfam family "Bacterial small subunit ribosomal RNA", at positions 355 to 796 of the family's 1533-position model. The record is from RNAcentral.